CGGGUACUGCGCUGUGCGCGCGAUAUGCAGUAAUUCCCCGGGGCUAUAAGUUCUUCCAGGGAGCUGUCCCUGAGCCGGACCGUGGUCCGGCACAUACGGCGCCCACCUGCAUUGCAGGUUCCGGAGGAUACAAACGUCAGACGGCAGAGGCGGUCCCGCA
Molecule: non-coding RNA, 160 nt
Filed under: Gimibacter soli
Lineage: Bacteria; Pseudomonadati; Pseudomonadota; Alphaproteobacteria; Kordiimonadales; Temperatibacteraceae
Description: Kordiimonadaceae bacterium 6D33 6S RNA
Rfam family: 6S / SsrS RNA
About the family: E. coli 6S RNA was the first non coding RNA to be sequenced, but its function was unknown until recently.
Source: RNAcentral